This 492-nucleotide ribosomal RNA is filed under the name uncultured bacterium. RNAcentral describes it as "partial 16S ribosomal RNA". It matches the Rfam family "Bacterial small subunit ribosomal RNA", at positions 29 to 507 of the family's 1533-position model. The record is from RNAcentral.
AGUGAACGCUGGCGGUAGGCCUAACACAUGCAAGUCGAACGGCAGCACAGUAAGAGCUUGCUCUUACGGGUGGCGAGUGGCGGACGGGUGAGGCAUACAUCGGAAUCUACUUUUUCGUGGGGGAUAACGUAGGGAAACUUACGCUAAUACCGCAUACGACCUACGGGUGAAAGCAGGAGAUCUUCGGACCUUGCGCGAUUGAAUGAGCCGAUGUCGGAUUAGCUAGUUGGCUGGGUAAAGGCCCACCAAGGCGACGAUCCGUAGCUGGUCUGAGAGGAUGAUCAGCCACACUGGAACUGAGACACGGUCCAGACUCCUACGGGAGGCAGCAGUGGGGAAUAUUGGGCAAUGGGCGCAAGCCUGAUCCAGCCAUGCCGCGUGGGUGAAGAAGGCCUUCGGGUUGUAAAGCCCUUUUGUUGGGAAAGAAAAGCAGCAGGUUAAUACCCCGCUGUUCUGACGGUACCCAAAGAAUAAGCACCGGCUAACUUCGUG